This 674-nucleotide ribosomal RNA is filed under the name Mucor piriformis. RNAcentral's name for it is "eukaryotic LSU rRNA". It matches the Rfam family "Eukaryotic large subunit ribosomal RNA", at positions 68 to 648 of the family's 3401-position model. The record is from RNAcentral. Lineage: Eukaryota; Fungi; Mucoromycota; Mucoromycetes; Mucorales; Mucoraceae.
ACAAUGAUUUCCCUAGUAACGGCGAGUGAAGAGGAAAGAGCUCAAAGUUGGAACCUGUUUGGCUUAGCUAAACCGGAUUGUAAACUGUAGAAGUGUUUUCCAGACACGCCUGGUAAAAAAGUCCUUUGGAACAGGGCAUCAUAGAGGGUGAGAAUCCCGUCUUUGGCCAGAGCUGUUGUCUUUUGUGAUACAUUUUCAAAGAGUCAGGUUGUUUGGGAGUGCAGCCUAAAUUGGGUGGUAAAUCUCACCUAAAGCUAAAUAUUUGCGAGAGACCGAUAGCGAACAAGUACCGUGAGGGAAAGAUGAAAAGAACUUUGAAAAGAGAGUUAAACAGUAUGUGAAAUUGUUAAAAGGGAACCGUUUGGAGCCAGACUGGCUUGAUCGUAAUCAAUCUAAGCUUCGGCUUGGAUGCACUUGCGGUCUUUGCCUGCCAACGACAAUUUUUUUUGGAGGAAAAAACUAGGUGAAAUGUGGCCCCUCGGGGUGUUAUAGUCUCUUAGAAAAUACUCUGAAUUGGAUUGAGGAACGCAGUGAAUGCCUUUAGGGAAGAUUGCUGGGCGCUUUCGCUGAUAGGUGUUAGAAUUUCUGCCUUGGGUGGUGCUAAUAGUUAAAGGAGAAACUCGCUUAGUAUAUUUUUUAUUCGCUUAGGUUGUUGGCUUAAUGACUCUAAUGAC